AUGUCCCCAGCAAUGAAAUACGCAAAAGUAAUGAUCUUCAUCCAUUUCCUAAUGGUCUUCCCAGCAGACAUUUCCUCACAACAGAUCAGUCUUGCAGAGUCUGGUGGUGGUACCAAGAGACCAGGAGAGACUCUACGCUUGACCUGUACAGUUUCUGGGUUUUCUUUAUCAAGCUACUAUGUGGACUGGAUCCGUCAGCCACCAGGAAAAGGGCUGGAGUGGAUUGGACGUAUUGCCCAUGGUUACAGCGCGGACUAUAACAGCGCUUUGCAAAAUCGGAUCAGUAUCACUCUGGACAACUCAAGAAAUCAGGUGUUCCUCCAGAUGAACAGUCUGAAGCCUGAAGAUACUGGCAUGUACUAUUGUGCAAGAGUGAGUGACACAGUGAGAAAAGAGUGA
This is a non-coding RNA of Sphaerodactylus townsendi, 399 nucleotides long. The record is from the annotation of a RefSeq genome assembly. NCBI's taxonomy places the organism in Eukaryota, Metazoa, Chordata, Lepidosauria, Squamata, Sphaerodactylidae.